CUCGAUUAUGGUAGUUGGUGAGGUAACGGAUCACCAAGCCGAUAAUCGAUAGGGGCCGUGAGAGCGGUUGCCCCGAGAUGGGUACUGAGACAGCGACCCAGGCCUUACGAGGCGCAGCAGGCGCGAGACCUCCGCAAUACACGCAAGUGUGACGGGGUUACCCAAAGUGUCCUUAUUGGACUGUGGCGGGUGAGUAAUGUUCCCCGCUAGAAAGGAGAGGGCAAGGCUGGUGCCAGCCGCCGCGGUAAAACCAGCUCUUCAAGUGGUCGGGAUAAUUAUUGGGCUUAAAGUGUCCGUAGCCGGUUUAGUAAGUUCCUGGUAAAACCGGGCAGCUUAACUGUCCGUAUGCUAGGAAUACUGCUAUGCUAGAGGGCGGGAGAGGUCUGAGGUACUACAGGGGUAGGGGUGAAAUCUUAUAAUCCUUGUAGGACCACCAGUGGCGAAAGCGUCAGACUGGAACGCGCCUGACGGUGAGGGACGAAAGCCAGGGGAGCGAACCGGAUUAGAUACCCGGAUAGUCCUGGCCGUAAACGAUGCAUACUAGGCAAUGGUGCGGCCAUGAGCCGCAUCAGUACCGUAGGGAAACCGUUAAGUGUGCCGCCUGGGAAGUACGGUCGCAAGGCUAAAACUUAAAGGAAUUGGCGGGGGAGCGCCACAAGGGGUGAAGCCUGCGGUUCAAUUGGACUCAACGCCGGGAAACUUACCAGGGGAGACAGCAGAAUGACAGUCAGGUUGACGACCUUACUCGACGAGCUGAGAGGAGGUGCAUGGCCGUCGCCAGUUCGUGCUGUGAGGUAUCCUGUUAAGUCAGGCAACGAACGAGAUCCGCGCCUUUAUUUGCCAUCAAGAAGUCACGACUUUAUUGGGAACACUAAAGGGACCGCCGUCGAUAAGACGGAGGAAGGAGCGGGCAAAGGCAGGUCAGUAUGCCCCGAAACCCCUGGGCUACACGCGGGCUGCAAUGGUGCGAACAAUGGGCUGUAACUCCGAAAGGAGAACCAAUCCCGAAAUCGCAUCUCAGUGGGGAUUGUCGACUGUAACUCGUUGACAUGAACG
This 1056-nucleotide ribosomal RNA is filed under the name uncultured crenarchaeote. RNAcentral describes it as "bacterial SSU rRNA". It matches the Rfam family "Archaeal small subunit ribosomal RNA", at positions 220 to 1282 of the family's 1478-position model. The record is from RNAcentral. Lineage: Archaea; Thermoproteati; Thermoproteota.